UGCUAAUGAGUUUGUUUACACGAAUUAAACAGCGAAACCACCAGGGACCUGCCUCUCCUGCUUUGUGACUUUGUAGUUUCUCUCUCUGAAGUGAGGCAGGCAGCGAAUGUGCUGCCUGGAGCCUCUGUCUGAAGGCCCCGGGCUCUGGCGGCCCCCUGGGAUCUGCUGGGCCUGCAGCCCCACCCAGGAGUGUUUCCAGGCCAGUCUAACAGGUUCUGAGGAGCUUGUGCACCAGCCCUUCCCGGUCUGUCCAGACUCCUGGCGUUCCGCUGGGGCCAGGGUGGGAGGUGUGCUGAGCUUCUAGCAAGUUAAGACAUGUUAUUUCCUUGACAUGGACAACAAGAGAAUCUCUCCCUGCUGGACACAGCCCACCCUCUCUGUUGGGAAAUCCUGGUGAAGUAUCACAUAAACUUUUCCAGUGAAAGCAGACAGGUGAGGACACCUGAAACCCGCCUCGGCUUCCUUGCUCGCCUCAGCACUGUUCUGAGUGUGAAAUGAAAGUGCGUGACUGACUUUGACAGUCGGGAUUAAUCCUUCUCAGUAAAUUUUUAAAAGCACAGAGGGGACUUUGGGGGUACCCAGCGAGAGUGGUAGUGUCCGGAAAGUAUGUUCACAUUUAUAUUUAACCAAUAUUAUUAGACUUGUUUGUAUUUGAAACAUACUAGUAUUUCUAGAAAAGCCAGUUUUGUACUGAAAGUGUAAAAUUUAGAGAGCCUUAAAAAAUUACCAAAAUAAAAACAGUAUUAAAAGUCUGU
Molecule: long non-coding RNA, 755 nt
Filed under: Dasypus novemcinctus (nine-banded armadillo)
Lineage: Eukaryota; Metazoa; Chordata; Mammalia; Cingulata; Dasypodidae
Description: lncRNA (ENSDNOG00000052479.1)
Source: RNAcentral